RNAcentral lists this transfer RNA (74 nucleotides) under Stegodyphus mimosarum. It matches the Rfam family "tRNA". Rfam says of the family: Transfer RNA (tRNA) molecules are approximately 80 nucleotides in length. Their secondary structure includes four short double-helical elements and three loops (D, anti-codon, and T loops). The record is from Rfam by way of RNAcentral. Lineage: Eukaryota; Metazoa; Arthropoda; Arachnida; Araneae; Eresidae.
GCCUUCGUGGUGUAGUGGUCAGCACCCUCGACGUGUAAACCGAGAGGUCCAUGGUUCGAAUCCCGGCGAAAGCG